CAGGACCUACAAAAUUUCCUACAGACCCACUUCAACCAGAACAUCUGUUUGUGCUCUGCCUGGAAAUUAAAGCCUGAGAAAGGGGCUCCACUUGGUGUCGUGGAAGAUGUGGGUUUCACUCAUCACACACUCAAAUCUAAAUUCCUCCAGGGCUUUGCUGACUGCCAGAACAAGCCCCUGAGGAGAGAGAUUUACACCAGUGUGCUGAGAGCAGAAUCAAACCCCGGAUUUAUUACUCGCUAGCACAGAGCAGAAAUGCUAAAGUACCACUCGAUCCCUCCUCCUCCUCCUGGACGAAUCUCUAUCCUCCGGUAUAUGAAAAAUGCAUUUCACCGCUCCACAUAAUAAUUCUUGUUGGGACUAAGCCGUGACGCCUCCCCCCAGCCCGGCCGAGCCUCCCGUGUGCUGCAGUGGUCGCCGAGGUCUGCCGAGGACGGUGGCGGCGGCAGCAGCAGCAGCAUCUGUCCCUGUCCCUGCCGCCCGCUGAGUUCUCCUGCCCAUCCUACGGGAGCGGAGGACAGCGAGUCUCGCAGCCUGCAGGUGUCUCCCGGCGGAGGAGGCUGCGGAGCCCCUUGGGAUCAUGUGUGGUACCCGAGCAGAUGUUCACUCGCUCCUGGUGCUCUCUGCGAGGCAGACCCUCUGCGAUCCCGUCAGCGCUCUGAAGCUCCCCGGGUCCGGGAGGACGGCCACGCUCCCGCUCCUGCAGCUGCUCCUUUAACGUACAAAGGCAGGAUUUCAAGUGAAGGGAAGAAUGGGAGUCUGGCUGCAGCGUUUCCUUCACCGCUACAACAGCAGAUUGGGAGAAGCUGAGAGUUUUGGUGCCUGGACAACUGGAUUCUGAAUCGUGAGAGGCUUUGAAAGCCCCCCCUCUCCCAAAUAAAACAAACCCCUUUGACUUCUUCUCUCAGCAGGAGGGGGAGGGAGGGCGGAUUUACCAUGAAGACAAAUCGAAGAUGCAGAGCCCUGCUAGCAGUGAGUCUGAAUCUGAUGGCUCUCCUCUUCUCUACAACAGCUUUUAUCACGACCCACUGGUGUGAGGGCACACAGAGGGUCCCCAAGCCGAGCUGUGGGAAAGAGAAGAAGACAAACUGCCUCAACUACGGCGGGAAUGAGACUGCGAAUGAGACGAACCAGAAUGUGGUUCAUUACAGCUGGGAGACGGGAGAUGACCGCUUCCUUUUCAGGUAUUUCCACACCGGGAUCUGGUACUCCUGUGAGGAAAAUAUCAAUGCUGCUGGUGAGAAGUGUCGAAGUUUUAUUGACCUUGCCCCGGCUUCUGAAAAAGGUGUCCUGUGGUUAUCAGUAGUUUCUGAGGUGUUGUACAUCAUGCUGUUAGUCGUCGGGUUCAGCCUUAUGUGCCUCGAGCUCUUUCAUUCAAGCAGUGUGAUAGAUGGGCUCAAGUUAAAUGCCUUUGCUGCUGUCUUCACUGUGCUUUCAGGUCUCUUGGGGAUGGUGGCACACAUGAUGUACACUCAAGUUUUCCAAGUGACAGUCAGCCUUGGGCCAGAGGACUGGCGACCACAUUCAUGGGACUAUGGAUGGUCCUUCUGUCUGGCCUGGGGCUCUUUCACCUGCUGCAUGGCAGCCUCUGUCACCACCCUCAACUCCUACACUAAGACUGUCAUCGAGUUCAGACACAAGCGCAAAAUCUUCGAGCAGGGCUUUCGAGAAGAGCAGAACUUCCUAGACCAGGAAGCCAUCAAGUACUUCAGAGAAAGGGCUGAGGAGGAGAGGGCUGAGGCUGGGGACCUGAGGUUACAGUGCCUCCAUAGCUGCUCCCCAAAUAGAAAGAUGUGUGCAGUUUCAUGCAUCUAUUUCCUUGGAAAGAAAGCAAGUGAUCCUUCACUCAGCGGGAGGGAGACUUGGGACAGUGACUUGCUGACUCUGCGCUCUUAAAAUUUGGAAAACCUCCUGGCAUUUUGCUGCCUCUGUCUUGCUGAGAUGCACAUCUCAGCCACGUACUCGUGGAAGCUUGGUGUCUGUCACCCUAAUCACUGAGGGUCCUGAUCCCUCCCCCAGACCUGCUGGAACUGCUCUCCAGUCCCAUGUCACUGCAGGUGGUCUCCCCACAGGCAUGAUAGUGCUGGCACUGCUCUCCAGCUCGGUUUGUCAUCAGCUCACUUGGUAACUCCUGCUCCUUGAAAAUGCCAUGUCAGUUAUGGACUUUUCCACAGGCAGGAGAUCCACAUCCCUCAUUUUCACAGGCCUGAACAUGCCUAUUGGUACAAAAUUGAUCUGGGUCAUGUUUCCUGAGAAAAUUCCCCACCUGCCAAGCUCCUGGCAGGUGCUCAAGUGUGCUUUUUUAUUACUGAAGCCUGUCCAAAGGUCUUUAUUUCAAAGAACAAAUAACAAGUCUUGACAUUAGGUGUUCCAAGGAAUAGGAACAAGGCUCUUGUUGGUCCUACACCCAGCCCUGCCCCAGAGCUUCAAUUCUAAAGGACACAGAGCUUUACCCCCACAGUGCUGACAGCGCUGGGAAAGCAAACUGCAAAGGAGAAACCCAGUGUCAGGGUAAAGAACAGUGGCCAUUCUUCAGUAUUCCAUCAGUCUCAGCUUCACAUCUGUUACCCACUGUAACGAAAUCAGAUCAAUAUUAAUGAAGUGACAGGAGUGAAGUUCUGCUCUCAGUUCACAGUUUACUUACGAAUCCAAUAUAAGCCGCAGGAUCUUCAUUAUUCAUGCUUAUUAGGGAGGAAAAAACAUUAAUUGCUGCUGCUCUGGAUGGCACAAAUCCUCACAACUCUCAGAAGAACGUCUCCUUCCUUGAACAAGUCCAUCAAGCCUGCAUUGACCCAAGGACUCUCCUUGAUGCUGUUUCUGGCUUCACACACUCCCACUCUGUCACAUCAGCCAUGCAAUGGGCUCGUGGCCAGCAGAGCAUUGGUAAGAGCAAGAGAAUGAUGUGAGAAGCACUUGGCUAAAGGCAGGGCAGCCCCAGAGGUUCCCCUGGCUCCCCUGGGUACCUGGGGUCUGCUUGGAUGGAAGAAGGGGACACUCAGAACAGACCAAGUCCUCACCACUGCUUGGUCACGUCAGCACCCACGUGCCACUAACAGAGCAAACACCAGCAGAUCACUCUGAGCACUUUAUGAACACUUCCCAGAGAGGUGAUCCUGAGCCACUGGGACACCAGGAUGCACCACCUGAAGUUAUUCCUGCUGCUCACUUCAACCAGCGUUUCAUUCCCUGGAGGACUUGCCAGCUGCCCUCACUUAGAAGUGCCCUGAGGAUGUUCUGGCUGGAACCAAAUGGCAGAUAAGAAAUAUUUGCUCGUGCUCAAACAUCAUGACUCUUUCUGUCCUCCCACAAAGACAAACCAGGGCAUCUGUCCUUGUUGAGAGGCAAGGAUUUGGGGGAGUGUCGCUGAGGAGUGAAGGAGUAAAACCUUUACAGAAAAGAACACGACUGAGUGACCAUAGAAGACAAAUGCCAUCACAGCCAGGGCUUCACAACACCCAGCUCUAAGUGUCACUAGCCCGCAGAGGAACAGGAGUGACCAUAAUGCUCAGAAAAUACCCCCAUUCGCUACGUCAAGCUCUUC
RNA transcript from Neopelma chrysocephalum (saffron-crested tyrant-manakin), 3541 nucleotides. It is a transcript of the gene named GSG1 like, with no coding region annotated. The record is from RefSeq and is a predicted model, not a curated record. The transcript has 8 exons. Lineage: Eukaryota; Metazoa; Chordata; Aves; Passeriformes; Pipridae.